RNAcentral lists this transfer RNA (70 nucleotides) under Marmota monax (woodchuck). Its description in RNAcentral is "tRNA.Val". Lineage: Eukaryota; Metazoa; Chordata; Mammalia; Rodentia; Sciuridae. The record is from RNAcentral.
GGGCUGCAGCUCAGUGGUAUAGUGCCUUCCUCACACAUGGGAGGCACUGGGUUCGAUCCUCAGCAUCACA